UACAGGGGGUGCAAACGUUGCUCGGAAUCAUUGGGCGUAAAGCGCACGUAGGCGGUUCGUUAUGUCGGAUGUGAAAGCCCUUGGCUUAACCGAGGAAGUGCAUCCGAAACUGGCGAGCUAGAGUACUAAAGAGGAUCGCGGAAUUCCCGGUGUAGAGGUGAAAUUCGUAGAUAUCAGGAAGAACACCGAUGGCGAAGGCAGAUCUCUGGGCCGUAACUGACGCUGAGGAGCGAAAGCAUGGGGAGCGAACAGG
RNAcentral lists this ribosomal RNA (253 nucleotides) under uncultured bacterium. RNAcentral describes it as "partial 16S ribosomal RNA". It matches the Rfam family "Bacterial small subunit ribosomal RNA", at positions 524 to 776 of the family's 1533-position model. The record is from RNAcentral.